Carassius gibelio (silver crucian carp) is the source of this 487-nucleotide long non-coding RNA. RefSeq lists it as uncharacterized. The transcript has 2 exons. The record is from RefSeq and is a predicted model, not a curated record. Lineage: Eukaryota; Metazoa; Chordata; Actinopteri; Cypriniformes; Cyprinidae.
GUUUGGUGUGUAUAGUGUUACUCUCCUCUGAGCAGUAUGCAUUAAUUCACAGCUAAAUGUAAAAAACAAUCCACAUUCAAAUCAAAAUAGCCGACUUCCUGUUGGUCGUAGCUGAUGACUGUGAAUUAGAAAGUUGUCCGUCUUGAUAAGAACAAUUUUUGUACUGAGUUUGGUGUCUGUAGCUAAAACUAACCCCCCCACUUUUGACAAAAGGUGGCGCUAUAGAGUGCCUCUUCCACGCCCUUUUAAAAGCUUUUGCCAUGGUCUAGCUAUCUUUAAUACUGAUAUCUGUUUCGAGUUUCAUGUAAAUCUGAGCUAGUUAUCUGCCUAAAAAUCACCAGAACAGAACAUUCAAGUUUGACACGUUGCCAUGGCAACACUAUAUUAGAUAUAAAUAUCCCCACGACAGAUUGUCUUCGGCCGUGUUUUGUCAUUAUUCUGAUGAAGUUUGAAGCAAAUCAAGUAAAAAUAAAAUGCUGAAUUCAAA